UGGCAACAUGAGGAAAGUCCGAGCUCCGCAGAGCAGAGUGCCGGAUAACACCCGGUGAAGGUGACUUCAAGGAAAGUGCAACAGAAAUAAACCGCCCGCAAGGGUAAGGAUGGAAAGGCGAGGUAAGAGCUCACCGGCGACAUGGCGACUUGUCGGCCCUGUAAACCCCACUCGGAGCAAGAUUGGAAUGAGAGCAUUUAAUGGCUGCUCGUCACGCUCUCUGUAAUCGCUUGAGCGCACAGGUAACUAUGCGCCUAGAUAGAUGGUCGCACCAGACAGAACUCGGCUUAUUGCUU
Molecule: RNase P RNA, 296 nt
Filed under: pig gut metagenome
Also listed under: 1 other name
Description: Bacterial RNase P class A
Rfam family: Bacterial RNase P class A
About the family: Ribonuclease P (RNase P) is a ubiquitous endoribonuclease, found in archaea, bacteria and eukarya as well as chloroplasts and mitochondria. Its best characterised activity is the generation of mature 5'-ends of tRNAs by cleaving the 5'-leader elements of precursor-tRNAs.
Source: RNAcentral